NNNNNNNNNNNNNNNNNNNNNNNNNNNNNNNNNNNNNNNNNNAGCAGCCUUCCUUCGAAAAAGAAGGAUGCGUGUGUUCCCGUACCUGGACGAUUGGCUACUCGCGGGCAGGUUGGAGGCCGAGGGCCAAUCGCACGUGAAGCUGGCCUUGCAGACGUUCGACAAGCUCGGCCUCCGGGUCAAUGUGCCCAAGUCCACGUUAGUCCCCACACAGAGGCUGGACUUCAUAGGUGCAACCCUGGACUCGGUAACCACGCAAGCGAGCCUACCAGAGGCACGGUUCAGGUCAAUUCACAGAGCCGUGAGCUCGGUCCAAAAGUUCCCCAUGACAACGGCAAGGUGUUGCAUGCAGCUUCUGGGGCAUAUGGCAGCCUGCACACAUGUGGUCAGACAUGCCCGCCUGAGGCUCCGACCUUUACAGUUGUGGUUCGCCCACACGCAUCGCCCCAACAGAGACCCAUUGGAUCAAGUAGUCACGAUCCCAAACCAGGUGCUCAGCUCGCUACGCUGGUGGCUCGAUCGCCAACAGGUAUGCGAAGGGAUCCCCUUCGCUGCCCCACAGCCCACUCUGACGUUGGUAACAGAUGCAUUGGACCUGGGUUGGGGGGCGCACCUGGGGGAACUGCGGACCCAAGGGCUGUGGUCCAGAGAAGACAAACUGCUUCACAUCAAUCUAAAGGAGCUAAGAGCGGUUCGCCUCGCCUGUCAGACCUUCCACACCACCAUAGAAGGUCACAGUGUGGCAGUCCUGACGGACAACACUACCGCCAUGUUCUAUAUAAACAAGCAGGGUGGGUCCCGGUCCUCUCCCCUCUGUCGCGAGGCACUCCACUUAUGGGACUUUUGUAUAGCCCAUGCAAUCCACCUCAUCGCAACGUAUCUCCCGGGGAUCCAAAACGGCUUAGCGGACCGCCUCAGCCGAUCCUACCAAAUGCACAAAUGGGCGUUGAGGCGGGACGUCCUGCAUUCAAUCUUCCGGAGGUGGGGCUUUCCCCGGGUGGAUCUUUUCGCCACCAAGGACAACAGUCAAUGCCCUCAGUUCUGCUCAUUUCAGAACCUCAGCCCGGGAUCAUUGGCAGAUGCCUUCACGAUUCCGUGGGGAGGGAGCCUGAGGUAUGCCUUCCCUCCAUUCCCGCUCAUCCACAAGGUCCUCCUCAAGACCCGCAGGGACAGGGCGAUAAUUAUACUCAUCGCCCCGGCCUGGCCACGCCAGCAUUGGUUCACGACCCUGCUGGAAUUGUCCAUAGUCGACCCGAUCACCCUCCCACUCCAUCGUGACCUAGUCACACAAGACAGGGGUCGCCUGCUCCACCCGAACCUGUCAUCGCUACAUCUCACGGCGUGGUAUCUCU
This is a long non-coding RNA of Chrysemys picta bellii (western painted turtle), 1352 nucleotides long. Lineage: Eukaryota; Metazoa; Chordata; Testudines; Emydidae. The record is from Ensembl.